This is a long non-coding RNA of Cydia fagiglandana, 2105 nucleotides long. RefSeq lists it as uncharacterized. The transcript has 3 exons. NCBI's taxonomy places the organism in Eukaryota, Metazoa, Arthropoda, Insecta, Lepidoptera, Tortricidae. The record is from RefSeq and is a predicted model, not a curated record.
AAAGUGUUAGUGGGGGUCUUGUAUUUGUGUUGGUUACUUUGUCAAUGUGACAGUUCUCUACUUAAGUUUGAGUCGAUUGGCAUGACGUAAAUUGUGUUACUGUGUAUAAAAAAAAGUGCCUAGCGCCGCUAAAGAAGUUUUCACUUCAAAAUUAACUGAUUUGCAAGACCAAAGUGAUCCCAUAAGUGUUCCGUAAACAAAGUUUUGUACGGAACACUAAAAAAUGCGUACUAGUACGUCGCAAUUUCAACUUCUAGUUGACUACAUGCAAAAGUAAGUAUCUAUGUACUUUAACUUUAAUUUGAGUUAUACAGUCUCCCUAGUUUAUAAUAAUAUGAUGAAAUAUUUUAGUUUCAAGUGGUUAGCAAAGUAUUUUAAGGUCCCUCUCAUCUCAUGUGUUAACAGGCAUGGUGACCUUAGCAAACCCAGCGAUGGGCCACAUGGGAAGGAGCUCAAUACCCGACGGUGGGCCGAGCUGACACAACUUUUAAACGCGGAUGCGACAGGCGUCACCAAAAAUACAGAUAAGUGGAGAAAGGUAUGUGUAUAACAUAUUAAAUAUAUUAAAAACGGGUCACUAAUAUCGGGUUUGGAUAUGUCUGUCUCUCACGGAAGUUUUGUGUGUAUAACCCAUUAGCUUUAUAUUUAUGUUUUCAUUUACCUAUUCAUUCAUCACAUUUUUUUCUUUGCAUGUACAUUUGGUUCGCUCUUCACUGAUUUUGUGUGUGUGUGUGUGUGCGUGUUGGGUGUGAAGGUGUGGAGUGACCUGAAGAACAAUACGAAGAAAAAGGCUGCUCGGAUAUUCAGAGCUGGAGCAGGAACUGGUGGUGGUCCUGCUUGUACAUUAAAAUUAAGUGACCUAGAGCAGAGGGUGCUGGCUAUAACAGGGACACGGGCAGCUACAGGCAUUGUAGAAAUUCCGGAGGUUGGCCUGGAGGUAGGGUAAUGGGUACUUCAUGCUUAAUAACAAUUUCGGCGGGGUGUGUAGCAUGGCGUCGGGCUCACAAGUAAUUUGAGCAGCGUGUACUAAGGCUGCUCCUAUACGCUUCCAUUUGUUUACUUAACAUGCAAUCCGCACACCCCGCCCCGCUGCACGCCCCACUCGAGCGUCCACUCAGGCCUUACACUUAAGGUGACAGUCCAUUUCCAACCGCAGCUGCACUACUGUUCAUUUUACUAUGGAAACUGACAGUAACAGCGACGCAUUAAGUACCAGUAGUGCAGCUGCAGUCAGAAAUGGAAUGUUACCCUAAGGAUAAAAUAAAAAGUAAGAACUCCCAUACUUAAUCCCCUACACAGAGAAUGCUGUCCUAUGGGAGUUUGUUAUUCUUUAUUUAGGGCCAGUUGCACCAACCACAUUUGACAGACUGAUCAAAGUCAGCCGGCGCGCCCAGGCGCUUUACUAUGAAACUUUCCAUACAUAAAAAUUUAGUGAACUCUUUAACGAUACGAACAGUUUGGUGGAACCGACCCUUAAUCUUACUCUAUGGUCAUACCUAAAUUAAAAUAUUUUACAGGAAGAAGUAACUGAACUGGCUGUACUACCGACACUUGAUAAUGAUGACAGCCCAUCUAUUUUUAUACUACAUGAUGAGUUUGCUCAACAAACUUGUUCCAAUGUUGAAGAUUGGAAUCGGCCAGGGACAUCGGCUCAACCCCCAGUUUUUCCACCCUUACCUGUGGACAGGAAUAACCAAGACUUGGCGGGCAGAGAGGAGCCUGAAAUAGUUAACAGCCCAGACAGGAGUGAGGCCGGCAUGACACAGGCGCAGGAGCCUGCGACUCGGGCCGCGCGGAUGGCUGCUGGAGGCAGGCAGCACGCGCCGCAGAGUCCUACGCCCUUACCACUUACGCCACGGCGGCGGCGAACACGUCCGACGCCAACAUUCUCCUCUCGUACUCGUACCCAGACACAGUCCGAUUUGGCAAGGCAAGCCUUCGUCAGGUCUGACUGUGAAUGGCGAAAUUUCCAAAUGGAGGCAGAGCGGGAGAGGAAUAGGUUAAGAGAAUUAGAGAUAAGGAUGCAAGAAAGGUGGUUAGAUUGUUUUAGUCAAUUGUUAGUAUUGGGAAAUAGAAUUGUAAGUCAUUGGGAAAAAAAAUAAAAA